Mastomys coucha (southern multimammate mouse) is the source of this 1008-nucleotide long non-coding RNA. RefSeq lists it as uncharacterized. Lineage: Eukaryota; Metazoa; Chordata; Mammalia; Rodentia; Muridae. The transcript is spliced from 3 exons. The record is from RefSeq and is a predicted model, not a curated record.
AUUGUGGUAGAGCAAGCCAAGAGCUGAAGAUGGGUGUUUGAAGGGUUGAAGAGGAGCUCAUAGUUCUCUAGAUGACUUAAGUGAAGUGCAGAUGGUGGUAGUGUGUCAUAAUGACAUCCUACUAAGGCAUGGGAGGAAAAAGAUUACAGAGACUAGAUAUUCUGAAGUGAUAAUGGGGAACAAGGGCACAACUUUCCCAUUGACAGCUUAAGAAAGCAAUGGGGCAUGUAAUGUCCAGAAAUGAAAAGCAUCUCAGCCAGUACAAGAAGAUGAGAAGGACCUCCAAAGACCCUGAGGGGGAAAGAGUCAUUUUGAUGAUAAUGGCUAUCCACUCUCAGGAGCUAGAGGCACAUGGAUGAGGGCCAUUAGGUGGCAUGUAUAUAGAGCUACAUGAAUGUGGAAAUAAAUGAGGUCCUGAGAAUCCAGAGUUUCUAGUUGUCACAAGAAUAGUGAAAAGGUGUGGUCAAUGAUAGAUCAGUGAUCCUGGUCAAUAGGGCAGGAGGUGAGUGUGGGAGUGAAUAUGCAAGCGUUAGAAUUUUGGCCUGUUCUUGACAUCUUCACUGCUGGAGAACUGAAGAGAGAUGUUAUUGAUUAUAGAACUCUGCAUGGAACUACAAUGACUUUGAAACCCUUCUUAUGAGAGCAAAAGUAUUCAAUUAUUGGCUUCUAAAUUGAGAAUCUAAAAUGUCCUUAAGGAACAUGAUGUCCCUUCCCUCCUAGUCAUCUUGUCCUAAAUCAAUCAGGAUCCUUCAAGAGCAAACCAAGCAAGGCUGACUGCAAAGGUUCUCAUCCCUGGAGCCAUAUCCAACACUACAAACUUUGUGUCCGUUCAACUUUUGAUUACAGUUUCCUGUGCAGGAUACUUCUUUUUUCUCCCACUUGUGUUUCCCUUCCACUUCCUUCUUAAGGAAGUGGUUCAUCAGGUCAUCCUCAAAAAGUUAGGCUUGGAUGUUCCAGAGUGUUUUCUUGUCAUAUUCAAAUUUCAAAUUAUGUAAGUAUUCUCAACAC